Molecule: ribosomal RNA, 465 nt
Filed under: uncultured bacterium
Lineage: Bacteria
Description: partial 16S ribosomal RNA
Rfam family: Bacterial small subunit ribosomal RNA
Source: RNAcentral
CCUACGGGUGGCAGCAGUAGGGAAUCUUCCGCAAUGGGCGAAAGUCUGAUGGAGCAACGCCGCGUGAGUGAUGAAGGUUUUCGGCUCGUAAACCUCUGUUGGCAGGGAAGAAAGGUAGAGGUGGUAAUUAGCCUUGAUUUGACGGUAAUUGCUUAGAAAGUCACGGCUAACUACGUGCCAGCAGCCGCGGUAAUACGGAGGGUGCAAGCGUUGACCGGAUUUAUUGGGCGUAAAGCGAGUGCAGGCGGUUCAAUAAGUCUAAUGUGAAAGCCUUCGGCUCAACGGGGGAAUUGCAUUAGAAACUGUUGAACUUGAGUGUAGAAGAGGAGAGUGGAACUCCAGGUGUAGGAGUGGAAUGCGUAGAUAUAUGGAAGAACACCAGUGGCGAAGGCGACUAUCUGGCAUGUAACUGACGCUGAGGAGCGAAAGCAUGGGUAGCGAACAGGAUUAGAUACCCUGGUAGUC